This 404-nucleotide ribosomal RNA is filed under the name uncultured Chloracidobacterium sp. RNAcentral describes it as "bacterial SSU rRNA". It matches the Rfam family "Bacterial small subunit ribosomal RNA", at positions 355 to 776 of the family's 1533-position model. Lineage: Bacteria; Pseudomonadati; Acidobacteriota; Blastocatellia; Chloracidobacteriales; Chloracidobacteriaceae. The record is from RNAcentral.
UCGGGAAUUUUGGGCAAUGGGCGAAAGCCUGACCCAGCAACGCCGCGUGAAGGAUGAAGUAUUUCGGUAUGUAAACUUCGAAAGAAUAGGAAGAAUAAAUGACGGUACUAUUUAUAAGCUCCGGCUAACUACGUGCCAGCAGCCGCGGUAAUACGUAGGGAGCAAGCGUUGUUCGGAUUUACUGGGCGUAAAGGGCGCGUAGGCGGCGCGGUAAGUCACUUGUGAAAUCUCUGAGCUUAACUCAGAACGGCCAAGUGAUACUGCAGUGCUAGAGUGCAGAAAGGGCAAUCAGAAUUCUUGGUGUAGCGGUGAAAUGCGUAGAUAUCAAGAGGAAUACCUGAGGCGAAGGCGGGUUGCUAGGCUGACACUGACGCUGAGGCGCGAAAGCUAGGGGAGCAAACGGG